CCUACGGGUGGCAGCAGUGGGGAAUAUUGGACAAUGGGCGAAAGCCUGAUCCAGCCAUGCCGCGUGUAUGAAGAAGGCCUUCGGGUUGUAAAGCACUUUCAGUGGGGAAGAAAGCCUUGGGGCUAAUACCCUCGAGGAAGGACAUCACCCACAGAAGAAGCACCGGCUAACUCCGUGCCAGCAGCCGCGGUAAUACGGAGGGUGCGAGCGUUAAUCGGAAUUACUGGGCGUAAAGCGCGCGUAGGCGGUCUGAUAAGCCGGUUGUGAAAGCCCCGGGCUCAACCUGGGAACGGCAUCCGGAACUGUCAGGCUAGAGUGCAGGAGAGGAAGGUAGAAUUCCCGGUGUAGCGGUGAAAUGCGUAGAGAUCGGGAGGAAUACCAGUGGCGAAGGCGGCCUUCUGGACUGACACUGACGCUGAGGUGCGAAAGCGUGGGUAGCAAACAGGAUUAGAUACCCGUGUAGUC
RNAcentral lists this ribosomal RNA (465 nucleotides) under Vreelandella stevensii. RNAcentral's name for it is "partial 16S ribosomal RNA". It matches the Rfam family "Bacterial small subunit ribosomal RNA", at positions 338 to 795 of the family's 1533-position model. The record is from RNAcentral. Lineage: Bacteria; Pseudomonadati; Pseudomonadota; Gammaproteobacteria; Oceanospirillales; Halomonadaceae.